This 254-nucleotide ribosomal RNA is filed under the name uncultured bacterium. RNAcentral describes it as "partial 16S ribosomal RNA". It matches the Rfam family "Bacterial small subunit ribosomal RNA", at positions 524 to 776 of the family's 1533-position model. The record is from RNAcentral.
UACGUAGGGUGCGAGCGUUGUCCGGAAUUAUUGGGCGUAAAGGGCUCGUAGGCGGUUUGUCGCGUCGGGAGUGAAAUCCACUGGCUUAACUGGUGGCUUGCUUUCGAUACGGGCAGACUGGAGGUAUGCAGGGGGAGAACGGAAUUCCUGGUGUAGCGGUGAAAUGCGCAGAUAUCAGGAAGAACACCGGUGGCGAAGGCGGCUCUCUGGGCCUUACCUGACGCUGAGGAGCGAAAGCGUGGGUAGCGAACAGG